AGUGUGGGCUCCGUGAUAUCCCGUGGUAGCUUUGCCAUCAGCCUCCUCCUUGGUCUCCCUGCCUUCCAGUUCUGGCCACCCAGUCCCUCCUCCACAUCAGCAGCCAGAAACUUCUCCUAAAACACAUUAUUGUCUUUUUAACACCUGCCAAUGAAAUCCUGGUAUCCCAUUGCCCUUUGGAUAAAGGGCAAACUCCCUAACAGGUCACCAGGCCUGCUGGGCUGACUGCUCUCCUGGCUGCUCCAGCCAAACAGGACCCACUUCACACUCCUCUGAACAGGCCCUGGGCUGGGCUUUCUCAACUCUGGACCUUUGCACCCACUGCCAACUCAGCCUACCACUAUCUCUCUCCUCCAUCCCUCUCUGCCGACUAAAGUUCUGCCACCCUCAAAGGCCCAGCUUCAUGGAGGGCCUUUUCACCGACCCAGGAGUACCUUGGAUGAAAGUGCUUGGUGUUCCUGACUCUCUUCCCUACUGAGCAGCGUGAGCUUCGGUGUAUCCUUCCCUCUGUGCUCAGCACAGAACCUGACAUCCUGGGGAGGUUUUGUAAGCAUGGGCUGGGAGCCUCUAAGCCUCCAUUCACCAACCCCUCUCUCCUGGCUCUGGCCCUUGAUCUGGCCUGGAUUCACUUCAGCAACAGCAGCAGCUCCAGGAUGGUCUGGAAUGUCAACUGUGACGACUAGAGCUUGAGCAGCCAUCCUGGAUAAUGAGCAGAAGCCUCAUGCUGAGGACGGCAGAAGAUGCAGCUCUCGGUAGCCUGGCAUAGGAGCAGAGACAGGAGUCAGUUGGGUCUGACUUUAGGAUGAGAAGAAGAGAUGGUGUCCACAAAAGAAAUGCCAGUCCUAUUUCCAGAAUUUAUAAACACCUCCUACAUCUCAAUAUCAAAAAAACAAACAACCUCAUCGAUAAAUGGGCAGAAGA
Molecule: non-coding RNA, 921 nt
Organism: Sus scrofa (pig)
Lineage: Eukaryota; Metazoa; Chordata; Mammalia; Artiodactyla; Suidae
Source: RefSeq, a predicted model, not a curated record